CUGUGUAUACAAGUGACAUAGAGAUAAUGUAUUUACAUCCUUUUCCAUCUGCACAGACUCACUAACAGUUUGUCCUUCCCUGGGGAUCAUUCGCUGGAGCAAUGUUGUGUAGUUCCUGAAGCUGAGAGUGAGGAGAUAUUCUGAGGGUUCAGUAUUCCCUCCAUUAUACGGCGAGGCUGCAUAGUGUGUGGCAGUGGAAACAAUAAAAUUAAUACUAGUGAAGGCUCAGGCCCAAGUUUUGCAAUGGAGACUGAAGUUACACCACUACCAACAGUCCAACUUAAAGGAGAAAUAAAGACUUCAAAAUAAUAUCCCAGUAAUGCUGUAUUUUAUGCAGUGGACUUAGUGUGCCAGGCCAGAGGUUAGGCCUCAGUGUAACAGUAAUAAUCCAGGCCUUGCACUGGAAUGUGCCAUCUUGGAUGGUCAGGCCAUCUUUUGUCAGUGACUCUGCACAUGCUCAGUGUGCUCUGGGCUGCUGUUGAGAAGCUAAGCUUAGGGCUUUACAGAAAUCAUCCCAUUAAGCUGAUGCUACAGAGCUGACUAUUAAUCAAUAGUGAUGUGUGGGCCACUCCAAAACCUCCAGGAACUGUUGAUUUCCGCACAAGAUUGUGGGGUCACAGGCAGGUUUGGGUUGAGCACUUCCUUCCCUCACUCUGACCUUACUGUACCGCUUCUGCCUCCAGUCUUUUAUAGACUUGUGUCUGCAUGCCCCACCCCUUUUGUGAUGCCGGGGCGGGUGCAGGUCUGUAAAUAAGGAGGUGUGCUGGGUUAGGGCCGGGUGUGGAUGUUGAAGGAUUGGUGCAGGUGCUGAAGAGUCAGGUGCCGGUGCUGAAGAAUCAGGUGCGGGUGCUGAAGGGUCAGGUGCGGGUGCUGAAGAGUCAGGUGCGGGUGCUGAAGAGUCAGGUGCGGGUGCUGAAGAGUCAGGUGCGGGUGCUGAAGAGUCAGGUGCGGGUGCUGAAGAGUCAGGUGCGGGUGCUGAAGAGUCAGGUGCGGGUGCUGAAGGGUCAGGUGCGGGUGCUGAAGGGUCAGGUGCGGGUGCUGAAGAGUCAGGUGCGGGUGCUGAAGAGUCAGGUGCGGGUGCUGAAGAGUCAGGUGCCGGUGCUGAAGAGUCAGUAACCUAAAGCAGCUCCUGCAGUGCCACUCCCCAAUGCUUACAUUUCCUGCGUUGGGUCUGGGGGGGGGGGCGCGCAUUGCUAGUGUGGAUAGCAGAACGGAGUGCUCUUGCAGUAGAAGAGACAAAUUUCUGGUUUCAAAUCUGCCAGGGAACCUUAACAAUAGGGGAUUUGUGCAAUCAUUAGCUCCCAGUUAAUUGUGGAGUCGCUGCUACAUUGUUGCAUUGACUACUAGAGGCAGAUUUAUCAAGGGUCAAAUUGAAAAUUUGAAUUUUGUAAGUUUGUUUAUGGUCAAAACUGUCAAAUUCGACUAGGGAGUUGUUCAAAUUCGAUUUGAGGUUUUUUUUUUUAAAUUUAAAUUCGAUUUACGAGAUCUAUCAUAUACAGACUCUUUAAGAACUUGAAUUCGACUAUUGCCACCUAAAACCUGCAGAAUUCAAGGGAUAUAUUUAGACUUGUUUGUAGCCUCCUGACAUUCAAGUUUUUUUUUCGUAGAAAAACCGCAAAUUGAGUUCUUGAAAUUCAAUUAUAUUUGAAUUUGUUUCGAGUUUUUGGGUUGAUUAUAUGCACCUGACUUUAAUAUAAUUCGAUUUCAAUGAUAAAUUUCAAUUGGUCGAAUUUCGAGUUCAUGGGAUUUUUUAAAAAAAAACUAAUGUGAAUUGGAAAUUCCACUUAUGAUAAAUGUGCCCCCUAAUGUAUUCUGCCUGCAUCUCAUGUUCUAGAUACAGUCUGGCUCUCUAGCAGCCUCGGGUUCUGCAACCAAAUAGGCCGUGAAAAAAAAGAGGUAUUUUUGGCCAAAAACAGGGAGUGCCAGUUGGGCGAGACUACAAUGAGGGGAGACUUUGGUGGAGUCAUGCAAAUAAAAAGGCAACAUGUAGUAAGGCAUGAGAGAGUUAAAAGCUGACGAAUGUCACAUUAAUCUGACACUGAAUCUAUUAGCGGGGGAGGGGGGAUCUGCAACCUAUGACUGCCUGGAUGUAAUUAAACUACAACUCCCAUUAUCCCCAACAGCAGCUGGAGGGCAUAAGGUAGCAGAUCUCCUCUCUAUGGAAUCCAAACCACACAGAAUUCUGUUCCCAUGAAUAUAGCUUUACUAUUAGAAAUUCUUCAACCUGAAUCUCACCUUGCUUUGUUUUCUACAGGCACAAAUCUGAAUCUGACAUCAAUUUUAACCUGUAUUUUAGUGGCAUUUGCUGCAUUUUAAUUAGAACCCAUGUUUGCCAUCUUUUUACAAAAUAAACCCAAGUGUUUUUUUUC
This is a long non-coding RNA of Xenopus laevis (African clawed frog), 2369 nucleotides long. RefSeq lists it as uncharacterized. The record is from RefSeq and is a predicted model, not a curated record. The transcript is spliced from 2 exons. Lineage: Eukaryota; Metazoa; Chordata; Amphibia; Anura; Pipidae.